This 874-nucleotide ribosomal RNA is filed under the name Staphylococcus pseudintermedius. RNAcentral's name for it is "partial 23S ribosomal RNA". It matches the Rfam family "Bacterial large subunit ribosomal RNA", at positions 1957 to 2832 of the family's 2925-position model. Lineage: Bacteria; Bacillati; Bacillota; Bacilli; Caryophanales; Staphylococcaceae. The record is from RNAcentral.
UAGCGAAAUUCCUUGUCGGGUAAGUUCCGACCCGCACGAAAGGCGUAACGAUUUGGGCACUGUCUCAACGAGAGACUCGGUGAAAUCAUAGUACCGGUGAAGAUGCCGGUUACCCGCGACAGGACGGAAAGACCCCGUGGAGCUUUACUGUAGCCUGAUAUUGAAAUUCGGUACAGUUUGUACAGGAUAGGUAGGAGCCUUAGAAGCGUGAGCGCUAGCUUACGUGGAGGCAUUGGUGGGAUACUACCCUAAUUGUAUUGGAUUUCUAACCCGCAGCACUUAUCGUGCUGGGAGACAGUGUCAGGCGGGCAGUUUGACUGGGGCGGUCGCCUCCUAAAGAGUAACGGAGGCGCUCAAAGGUUCCCUCAGAAUGGUUGGAAAUCAUUCAUAGAGUGUAAAGGCAUAAGGGAGCUUGACUGCGAGACCUACAAGUCGAGCAGGGUCGAAAGACGGACUUAGUGAUCCGGUGGUUCCGCAUGGAAGGGCCAUCGCUCAACGGAUAAAAGCUACCCCGGGGAUAACAGGCUUAUCUCCCCCAAGAGUUCACAUCGACGGGGAGGUUUGGCACCUCGAUGUCGGCUCAUCGCAUCCUGGGGCUGUAGUCGGUCCCAAGGGUUGGGCUGUUCGCCCAUUAAAGCGGUACGCGAGCUGGGUUCAGAACGUCGUGAGACAGUUCGGUCCCUAUCCGUCGUGGGCGUAGGAAAUUUGAGAGGAGCUGUCCUUAGUACGAGAGGACCGGGAUGGACAUACCUCUGGUGUACCAGUUGUCGUGCCAACGGCAUAGCUGGGUAGCUAUGUAUGGACGGGAUAAGUGCUGAAAGCAUCUAAGCAUGAAGCCCCCCUCGAGAUGAGAUUUCCCAACUUCGGUUAUAAG